UGGGGAGGUGACACCCGAGUCAGCAGAUGAUCGCAUUGGUGACUUAAUAGCGGAAGAAGAUGAAGAGGAACAUGAAGAGGAACAUGAGGGAGAUAGUGAGGUUUGGGUGACUCUACCUGAUCAUGACUACGACGUGAAGCCCCUUUCUGUGGAAGACCAGCUUGACGCAGUAAAGAAACGCAUCGCUUUCC
Long non-coding RNA from Lampris incognitus (smalleye Pacific opah), 191 nucleotides. RefSeq lists it as uncharacterized. The record is from RefSeq and is a predicted model, not a curated record. NCBI's taxonomy places the organism in Eukaryota, Metazoa, Chordata, Actinopteri, Lampriformes, Lampridae. The transcript has 3 exons.